CCUUGCGUGCAGCACAGAAAUUCAGCUGCUCGUGCUUUGUGAGGGCAGGCCCAGGGGCUAUUGCUGUGCCUAUCAGUAUGUGAGGG
Non-coding RNA from Turdus rufiventris (rufous-bellied thrush), 86 nucleotides. NCBI's taxonomy places the organism in Eukaryota, Metazoa, Chordata, Aves, Passeriformes, Turdidae. The record is from the annotation of a GenBank genome assembly.